Molecule: non-coding RNA, 1009 nt
Organism: Prunus avium (sweet cherry)
Lineage: Eukaryota; Viridiplantae; Streptophyta; Magnoliopsida; Rosales; Rosaceae
Source: RefSeq, a predicted model, not a curated record
GACGUGCAUCCAAAACACGCUAAACACUGUUUCACUUAAGCGUUGUUCCUCUCAGCUUUACCAAAAACUAAAGUUGUCCUUCUCAACUUAAUUUUUCACACCCCGCUCAAUGUUCUAAGUUUCCCUCUCCAUGAAAAUUCCAUUCCCUCUCGAUGAAGCCCUCUCUCCAUAUCUGAGUUCAAACCCCCUCUCUCUCUCUCCUUCUCUAUCACAUCUCUGCACCUAAACCCUCUCUCUCCAGCUCAAUCUUUUCUAAGCCGACUCUCACAUCUCAGAGAGACAGAGGCAACGAGGAGGUGGACUUCGGUGUCGGCUUCGUCACGAGGAUCGACGUCGGCGCCGUCUUCUGGAUCGUCGUCGGCGCCAUCUUCUGGAUAGUCGUCUUCUGGGUCACGGUCUUCGCGGUCCUAGCCUUUUAGAGAAGAAGAUCGCCAAAGAGGUUUCAUUUCAUUUUCCUCGACUCUCCGACCCCGACCCCAACCCCAACUCCAAAUCCUCUCUUCGAUCUCGGACCUCAAGGAUCUUGUGGACUUGCUGGAAUUGAAUGUGCCUCUCAUAUAUAAUGUAAUUUCUAAACUACAAUACCUUGACCUUUGGGGGAGUAAAAUAUCUGACCAAGGUAGUUGCUGGAUUAGCAGCAGAUGGAAGGCAAAUUGUUGGCAGGACCAAGUCUGAAGCUAACUAUGAAAGCCUACAUGAUAGUGUAUACAUCAUUAACUUUCUCUUUGAAUCUCUCUCUCAGUAAAGCAGGUAGUAGUGGAUUAGUCCUCAAGCUGCUGUCAUUCUAAAGCUGCAUAGAUCUUAUUUCGACACCACCAACUUGAAAAAUGUGCAAGAAGGCAGAGCUAAGUCAACCCAAUAACAAAUUGAUGAAGUCAAGAUCAAAUUAGUAGAAUUUGUGAGCUCAAUUAUAUCUAAUUAUAGGUAGGAAGUAUGUAAUAGAAUAAAGAUUGGUUGACUAUGUAAUAACUAUUGAAUCUUCAAGUUUUAUGAAAGAAAUAAUUUUUGA